AGUAACUUCGGCUUGGGCUGGAUAAAACAUGCUCACAGCAUCUGUGGGAUUUAAACAUGUUUCUGUCGAAGCUUCGUGAUUUAAAGUCUCGAAUGUGAUCUUGGCACUAGAACACGAACAGUAGAAUGCUAAAAACUAAAGUGCAGUUUUCCUCCGCUCCACUGGGCGGCGCAAGCGGGGUUCAGCUUCGGCUGCUUGAAGACGCUCGAGUCACAACAACACGCGCAGCUCCUGCAGAUGACCGCUGUUUAUAUCGCUUCAACAGCACAUAUUUCAGCUCAGCUGCAACUGAAAUCCGAUGAAACGCUGGACCCGAGUGUCAAGCGACUCACCUAGUAAGUGCUGUGCUGUGGAUUGUAAAGCAGAGCUCUGGGACGUGUGGACAGACAGAGACUGUAAUGAUGCUCAUCUGCUCGUGGACAGUCUGUCUAAAAGCAUAACCGCUGCUGGUCACGGCGCCGGACGCUCCAGAGGGAGACCGUACUGGUAUCCCCCUUCUUCAGGCGCGCCUUCACACUCACUCCAGCAUUCACUCAUAUCACAGAGACCCGGCUGGGAUCGAACCAGCAACCUCUGAACCCGUGAGGCAGCGCUCUUACCAGUGAGCCACAGGUCUCUUGUCGAGCUGUGUGAAGGAACUUCUGUUUGACUCUUUACCUGUAUGUGACCCGUGUUUCUCCAAUAAAGCAGUUAAAGUGUGUGGGAUCUGAACCCGCGUCUCCAGCACAGCCGUGUCUUCAGACACGUGUGUUUAUCCACUGAACCAGCACAGACUUCACAUUCAUUUCUGGAGUUUGAGUGGUUUUGUUGGAUGAGAUCAAUGUAAAGUAAGCAAUAGUGGGAUCUGAACUCAGAUCUUCAUGAUUGAAACACAGCGCUUGAUCUCCUGUGCCUCUGAGUCUGUGGAGCUGCUGAAGGUUUUAAACAGGG
Molecule: transfer RNA, 930 nt
Filed under: Sinocyclocheilus grahami
Lineage: Eukaryota; Metazoa; Chordata; Actinopteri; Cypriniformes; Cyprinidae
Description: lncRNA (ENSSGRG00000042726.1)
Source: RNAcentral